GCGAACGCUGGCGGCAGGCCUAACACAUGCAAGUCGAGCGGCCGUAGCAAUACGGCAGCGGCAGACGGGAGAGUAACACGUGGGAACGUGCCUUUUGGUUCGGAAUAGCUCCUGGAAACGGGUGGUAAUGCCGAAUGUGCCCUUCGGGGGAAAGAUUUAUCGCCAUUAGAGCGGCCCGCGUCUGAUUAGCUAGUUGGUGAGGUAAAGGCUCACCAAGGCUACGAUCAGUAGCUGGUCUGAGAGGAUGACCAGCCACAUUGGGACUGAGACACGGCCCAAACUCCUACGGGAGGCAGCAGUGGGGAAUCUUGCGCAAUGGGCGAAAGCCUGACGCAGCCAUGCCGCGUGAAUGAUGAAGGUCUUAGGAUUGUAAAAUUCUUUCACCGGGGACGAUAAUGACGGUACCCGGAGAAGAAGCCCCGGCUAACUUCGU
RNAcentral lists this ribosomal RNA (433 nucleotides) under uncultured bacterium. RNAcentral's name for it is "bacterial SSU rRNA". It matches the Rfam family "Bacterial small subunit ribosomal RNA", at positions 29 to 506 of the family's 1533-position model. The record is from RNAcentral.